RNAcentral lists this unclassified non-coding RNA (348 nucleotides) under soil metagenome. Its description in RNAcentral is "partial contains 5.8S ribosomal RNA, internal transcribed spacer 2, and large subunit ribosomal RNA". The stretch from base 1 to 120 matches the Rfam family "5.8S ribosomal RNA", at positions 35 to 154 of the family's 154-position model. The record is from RNAcentral.
GAUGAAGAACGUAGCGAAAUGCGAUAAGUAAUGUGAAUUGCAGAAUUCAGUGAAUCAUCGAAUCUUUGAACGCACAUUGCGCCCGCCAGUAUUCUGGCGGGCAUGCCUGUCUGAGCGUCAUUUCAACCCUCAUGCCCCUAGGGCGUGGUGUUGGGGAUCGGCCAAAGCCCGCGAGGGACGGCCGGCCCCUAAAUCUAGUGGCGGACCCGUCGUGGCAUCCUCUGCGAAGUAGUGAUAUUCCGCAUCGGAGAGCGAUGAGCCCCUGCCGUUAAACCCCCAACUUUCCAAGGUUGACCUCAGAUCAGGUAGGAAUACCCGCUGAACUUAAGCAUAUCAAUAAGCGGAGGA